This 169-nucleotide ribosomal RNA is filed under the name uncultured bacterium. RNAcentral describes it as "partial 16S ribosomal RNA". It matches the Rfam family "Bacterial small subunit ribosomal RNA", at positions 338 to 524 of the family's 1533-position model. The record is from RNAcentral.
CCUACGGGAGGCAGCAGUGGGGAAUAUUGGACAAUGGGCGAAAGCCUGAUCCAGCAAUACCGCGUGUGUGAAGAAGGCCUGCGGGUUGUAAAGCACUUUCAGCAGGGAGGAUUAUGACGUUACCUGCAGAAGAAGCACCGGCUAACUCUGUGCCAGCAGCCGCGGUAAU